Molecule: long non-coding RNA, 2593 nt
Organism: Ctenopharyngodon idella (grass carp)
Lineage: Eukaryota; Metazoa; Chordata; Actinopteri; Cypriniformes; Xenocyprididae
Exons: 4
Source: RefSeq, a predicted model, not a curated record
UUAUAUGCUGAUAACACAAGACCUCUCCCUCCAGCUAUAGGACACACCCCCUUCAUCUAAGAUGCUGUUAUUGUGUUUAUAAAGAGCUUCUCUGACCUCAUUCUGAUAUAGAGACCAACAGCAGCGUAAAGAUGCCUACAAAGAGUAUGGCGGUUAUAUGAAAUAUACAUAAAUAGUAAUAUUAAUAGUAAUGGGUAGUUUAGAAUUAUAGUAAUAGUGAUGCUUGUCCUAAUACACACCACGAAAUAUAACAUAUAACAUUCCUGCCAUAUUUCAAAAAGUUUAUCUUUUUUUUUUUUUUUUUUUUGAACCUUAUAAUUGUAUUGACGAAAAAUGGACAAAAUAAGAGUUUCCUCCCUGGUCAAUCUCAGGCCACCAAACUGCGACUAAUGUUAAAUAUUUACAGCAAUAAUUUUAAAAUCAAAUAAACUUUGAAAAUCAGGAAAAAAAAAAAUUUGCGAGUCGAUCUUAUUAACGUAAGGACAGAAGUGAUGUCCGAUUCGCGUGCAAAUGACUCCUGUGAACCAGUUCUUUUGGUCAAAAAGAUUCACGAAACAACCUCGAACUCGUUAUGAAUCGUGAUUCGCGACUCUUGUGAACAGGUUCUUUUGAAUAAGUCAGUCAAAAAGAUUCACAAAACAACCUCGAACUCGUUUUACAUCGUGAUUCGCGUGCAAAAUGACUCUUGUGAACCAGUCACUCAAAAAGAUCCACGAAACAACCUGGAACUCGAAGCCCUUUUGAAUCAGUCAUCGAAUCGUUCAGAGCCGUUACGAAGUUCCCAACCGACUCCCUCACAGAAACUCGCGGCAUUUAUCCAAUUUGAAAAGAACCGGGAACCGUUACUGCGACUAACUUCAGGUGGCAGCGGUGAGGUGUGUCGCACCUGUCCGAGGGAGGCAGACGCGGCAUUGUACACGAGUGCGGCCGGAGAGGGUCCCACGGCCGUUCCGUCUGCGUGCUGCAGUCCGUUGUCCGGUUGUACUGCAGGCUCCGCCCCCGGCCCUCGAUCUGAAGCGUGAUUGGCUGCUCAUAGCUGGCCAGGAUACGGAAGGCCUCUCGCUUCGGCAGAUGGAGUCUGAUGUCAAACCUGUUGAGCUUCCUGGAGUUUUCGGGAUCCAAGCAUGACCUCUGACCCUUCAGCUGCAGGGUGUGAUUGGCUGAUGGUUGUAUCUGGGCAGAUCUGAGCGCUGCUGUGUCCUCCACUAUCCCAUCAUUCUCUCUGGAGCAGCAGCAGCGCAGGCUGGGAUACUCACCACCGCCAGCGGCCCGACAUGCACCGCGACACACGGCAACGCUGCCCGCGCGAUCACCAGCGGUGGACGCAGUACAUCAGUCCUCCAGCAGGCGGCGCUGCCCGUCAGUAUUUCAUACAGCACAAUCAGUUUUUAAAUGCUUAAUUUAAAGACACGCUAUGUUAUACAUAUAUAUGUAUAUAUAUAUUAUACUACAAAAGGUAAGUUUUCAGUCCUAAUUAUUUAGCACAUGAUCUUUUGAAAUGGUAUAAAUAACAGAUGAAAUAAGAAGGUUGAAGUCUGUUUGAGCCACAGCGCGCCCCCUGCUGUCCUCAAAGAGAAUCACAUCGGAUCCUCGUGCCUGACUUCCGGCUUCUUUGCGUUUCUGCUCUCCAUACACCGGAACCGGAAGAAUGUAAUAAUACUGUAAUAUCACAUGGGGGAAAUGUCCACCGCCAACUUUCACUGAGCAAAUUUAAACAGCAAAAAAAAAAAAAAAAAAAAAGUUUUGGAGAUUAAAAUCAGGCUGUCUAUCCAAAUAAUAAUCCAUCAAUGCCCCCCAAAAAUUCUAAAGUUAAUACUGUUGCUUCAAAGUAAUUUCUGACAAAUGUUUUUUUUAUUUUUUUUAUUAUACCUUCUUUAUAUGUACUUUUUUUUUUUUUUAUAUUAUGCAUAUAUAUAUAGUUAAAAACAAUAAAUAAAUAAUAAACUAUAUAGUUAAUAAUAAUAAUAAUAAUAUAAAGAAUUAUUCUAAUGUUCAGCUGUUUUGUAGUAUUUAAACACUUUCUUUAUAUUCCACACUGGCCUUAGACAUUAUAAAGUUAGUAUCAUUCUGAAAAAAAUAAUCCCAUGAUUCAACUGUCACAACAAACACUGAAGGCACACGCAGCAGGUUACGAACAGCAGCUUUUGUUUACUGUGUAAAUCCUGCAUUAAAAUCACAAUCAACAUAAAUCUCUGAAUCAUAUUAGUAAAUCACAUACUCUUCAUCUUAUUCUCAUUAUUUACAAUGAUUAAACUCUGGAGGACAAAAAACAUCAGCUACGAUGAACCAUCGACACGCGCUGUGAUGAUGUCAUCACAUUCAGUCAUCUCUGAUUGGUGGAGCGGCAACGACUCCACCCAACAACAGCGGCGUGUCAGACGCAACACUCUACGAGAGCGCCAUCAGGAUGUGACAUCAGAUGAUGACAAACAUUUAAAGUGCUUUGAUUGGCUGAUCUGCAGAGGCUUCAGAGAGAGUUCAGAAUCUGCAUCGUGACGUUAUUUUCAUGACAAUAAAACACUGUUUCCACAAAUUCACAUUACUGUAAUGCAAAAAUAUUUGUUUUCAUUACCGUAACAAAAAAUAUAUUCUC